This is a non-coding RNA of Camelina sativa (false flax), 862 nucleotides long. Lineage: Eukaryota; Viridiplantae; Streptophyta; Magnoliopsida; Brassicales; Brassicaceae. The record is from RefSeq and is a predicted model, not a curated record.
ACUUCUUCACUCUACAUAUAUAGCAAAAACCCAAGAUUUUUAUUUAAUUAUUCUCAAUAUCUACGAUGAUGAACAUAUUGAAAAGUCUAGCGAUCAUUUCCGUUCUCGGAAUAUUCUUUAUACCUCGUUAUUCUGAAUCCGCAAUAUCUUGCAGUGUUGUGAUACAGGAUUUGCAGCCAUGUGUGAGCUACUUGACCAGCGGAAGUGGAAAGCCUCCGGAUACUUGUUGCAAAGGUGUUAAGAGUUUAGCGGCUGCGACCACCACAUCAGCCGAUAAGAAAGCGGCUUGCCAAUGCAUCAAAUCAGUGGCCAAUAGUGUUACCGUGAAGACUGAAUUGGCUCAAGCCCUUGCUAGCAAUUGUGGUGCGAGCUUGCCCGUUGAUGCAUCCCCUACUGUCGACUGCACUACGGUUGGUUGAGAUAUUCUCCCAUCGAUCAAUGGUCCAUCUUUUCCUAGUAUGCAAUUUAAAUCAAUAAAUCCCCCCCACCCCCAAUAUAAUAUAUUUAGGCGAAUGUGUAUACUUACGUACAUACACAUGUUGUAAGAUGAUUGAAUCCGAUGAAGGUGUUAACGUAGAAGAGACAAGAGACAAGAGACACAAAUUUUUUAACGAGGUUCAGCAAAUGCCUACGUCCUCGAACUUUGUUGAAAAUACUUAUUGAACACAAUUACAAUUAGUGUUAAAUAUCAAUUGUACACAACCCUAAGAUCUUCUUUUAGCUUGUACCGAUCUAUGUCCAACCCAAUCAGAGAUCCCUAAGAUCAACAACAAUGAUCUGUACCUAGGAUUCUCACUUAGAAAACAAAACCCUCAUCAUUUUUUCCCCAAAAAUGCCAAAAGGCAACAAGGGGUUUUCUCUU